RNAcentral lists this ribosomal RNA (599 nucleotides) under uncultured bacterium. RNAcentral describes it as "bacterial SSU rRNA". It matches the Rfam family "Bacterial small subunit ribosomal RNA", at positions 825 to 1423 of the family's 1533-position model. The record is from RNAcentral.
GGAUUCGAAUAAGGGUUCAGUGACUAAGUGAAAGCAAUAAGUAUCCCACCUGGGGAGUACGUUCGCAAGGAUGAAACUCAAAGGAAUUGACGGGGGCCCGCACAAGCGGUGGAGCAUGUGGUUUAAUUCGAUGAUACGCGAGGAACCUUACCAAGGCUUAAAUGGGAAUUGACAGGCUCAGAAAUGAGUUUUUCUUUCGGGACAAUUUUCAAGGUGCUGCAUGGUUGUCGUCAGCUCGUGCCGUGAGGUGUCAGGUUAAGUCCUAUAACGAGCGCAACCCCUAUCAUUAGUUGCCAACGAGUAAUGUCGGGAACUCUAAUGAGACUGCCAGUGUAAACUGUGAGGAAGGAGGGGAUGAUGUCAAAUCAUCACGGCCCUUACGUCUUGGGCUACACACGUGCUACAAUGGCCGGUACAGAGGGCAGCUACACUGCGAAGUGAUGCGAAUCUCGAAAACCGGUCUCAGUUCGGAUUGGAGUCUGCAACUCGACUCUAUGAAGCUGGAAUCGCUAGUAAUCGCAAAUCAGCCAUGUUGCGGUGAAUACGUUCCCGGGCCUUGUACACACCGCCCGUCAAGCCAUGGAAGUUGGGGGUACCUG